This 13285-nucleotide long non-coding RNA is filed under the name Solanum lycopersicum (tomato). RNAcentral describes it as "long non-coding RNA (SLYC_LNC000717)". Lineage: Eukaryota; Viridiplantae; Streptophyta; Magnoliopsida; Solanales; Solanaceae. The record is from RNAcentral.
GAUUGGAUAGUUCAAAGAGUCAUCCUGAAGUUAUCAUAUUCCCCUCUUCACAAGUCAAAAUAUUUAUAACAUUGACUCACAAUAUCUCAUUAUAACAGAUUGCCUUACCAAAAAUAGAAAAAUAUGAAAAAUAGAAACAAUGAAUAAUUUUAUCCAUCUAGCCUAGCCACACCUAUCAGCAAAUCCUAUAUGAAUCAUUGCCAUGUUAGCAUCCUAAAUUUUUUUCUCCUGUAUCAAUCUUCUUUAUUUGGUUCCUGUACAAUGUCCAUAAACUGAAAUGUCCUAAGAGCAUCACAUUGUAACAAUAGAUGCCUCGUUCAUCAUUCGAAUUUUUAAUUCUCUCUAUCUUUUCUAAUAAGAAUCUAAAAGAGAUAGGAUGAGGGAGACAGAAUAUACAUUUGAUAGUCAGUUCGAUGAAUAAAAAUCUCGAGAAAACUAUUCAAUUGAAUCAUUGGGGAAGGGGGAAGAAGAAGGUUGAUUAUAGGUUCAGAGGAGUGGUCCAUGGUUGUCUCCUUGGUAACAAAUAUUAUUUCCUGUUAUGUAACAAUCUUAUAAUAUAAAAAAAUGGGAAUUGAACUUCUUUUCAAUGAGAUCCAACAUGACUUAAAUUUCCCAUUGCACAAUGAACAAAGAACAUAAAAAAAAUUCCACUGACAGAAAAGAUUUAAACAAAAAGAAGAAAAUCCAAAGAAGUAGUACAUAUAUAGACAACCCAUAUGAGUUCCCAUGCUGUUGAAUCAACCAUGCAGCAAACCUUUAUCUACUGUCCCAUCUAGAAUUGCUUCACCACCACAUAAAAAAAAUUCUUGUAAAAACAAAUAUAGAUAUAUUAUAUACAAAAAAAGACAGUUUCAAACCUUAAAUUAAUGAAUGUAAAACACACACAGCUCAUGUUCCUCAACUUGAUCCAUGCAAAGUGUUUGAAUUUAACACUUCUCUACCAGGAACCUACAGUUUCUAUUAUGUCUUUUUGCAGUGUAACUUGUAUUUUUUUCCACACCUUGCAACCAGGGGCAGAGCUACAGUUCUGCCUACGGAUUCGACAUUAUUGAGAAAUACAAGUAAAAGCUUUUAGAUGAGAUGAUCAAACACUUCAACAGACACAACUCAAUAGCUGUAUUUGUGUUUUAAAAUUUAUUUACUACGAUUAGAUAAGAGUGUAAUCCCACCUGCAAGGUCUGCGGAGGGUUUAGUGUUUGAACACCUUACCUCAUCUCGUGGAGGUUAAAAUUUAUUUAAUAUGUAUAAAUAAUAUAUCCAUAAAUCAGUAAGCUACAUUUUCUAGAAUUCAGAACUCGUAAACUCAAAAUUCUUGUUCCGCCUCAGCUUGCAAACCUAUUAUUAGAUAUCACUUUUACCGAGAGAGAAAUACACAUGGCCUGGGUCACUAACUAUAUCCUCAAAGUUCCAUGAGAAAGCCCAUUCCUUCAUGCCCUGAUAAGCAGUCAAUUUGCAAGUGUUAACUUGAGUUGGAUGGUGGACACUACAUCUUUGUAUCUUACUGUUGCAUGUCCUACUAGAAGAGUGUGUAUCCUGUGAUUGGUGAAGUUAAAAUAUAUGAAGCUUAUAUAGGUGUCCCAUAUAAAACAUGAGAUAAUAGUGGUGGAGCACCCUUGUCCAAGGGGUGUCAAUUUGUUGAAAAAUCACAUUGUAUAGAUAGAUAAGAAAAUUCAUAUAUACUAUAUGUUGAAUCUCCUUUACUUCUUCGUGUAUUUUUACCGACUUCCCUUGGUGAAAUCACAGUCCACCAAUCAUCUUUCAUAAUCAUUGACUAAUACUUUUAACCAUUUCCAAAAGAAAUUUGAAAAAUGAAUUUACAUAUCAUAGUACUUUGAACAUGGAUUGAAACGAUGUUUCGAAAAAUAUAAAUCAUCUUUCAGACUUCACACUGGAGAUAGGUUGAAAUGACUCUUGAUAAACUACAUAUCACAUUCAGUUUGAACCAGAAGACAAACAGAACAAUAUCUUAAGCAAAGCUAAAUCAAAUGUGAUAUCAUGGAUUUACUAUCAAAAGCACAAGCAUUUGAAACUAAAUCACAUACAUGAAGAGUUGUUUUUACCAAUGGUCAACAUAGUUAAUUAUUAUAAAAGGAAUUACAAUUCUAUCAAAAAGAGUUAAUUCUGAUGUGUGUUUAAUUAGACACUAUACACGUACAUGAAGAGUUGCAAUCACCAACAUUUUUUUGAUAACCAUGGUGUACGGGUUAGCUCGCACGCACCUCGACUACUCUAUGGGAUACUUGCUACCUUCCACCAGCAUAGGUACCGGAUAACUUUGUUCACCAAAGCUUGAGUUGCAAAUGCCAAAGUUCUACCAUCAAAUUAUUCACUUUUUGGAAAGCAUUUGAUCAAUUUCUCCACUCUCGUUGUACAUGCUAACAAUUUUCUUUGCAUAUUCAGGCAUAUGUCUGUCCGCUCUGCAAUUACACAAAAAACACGUGUGAGAAAAAAUUAAUGUAAUCCAUCAUAAUGGAACAAAUAUGAAUUUCUACAGACCUUUCUUUUCCCCAUUUGCGGACUACGUUUAAGUAAUUUCUGAUUGUGUGAUAAUCUAGCGAGUAACGUGCAAAUUCUAGACCCUUCGGUCCGACCUGAACCAAGACAAACAAGUUUAAGCACAGGGAAUUUGUUGUCCUUUCUGAAAGUAACAAGUCAGUGAACAAAAAGUUCUUACUAUGUUGAGAAGAAAUGCUAUUAAAUUUCCAACAAACUUUGGAGCAGGUUGAGAAGGACCUCUUCCUGGAAAUUCAGAAAGUUUCUGCAUAAGUCUUGUGAGAUUACUGAGAAGUUGUUCAACAAAAAUAUUUACUUCAAGAACAUGUCAGAAAAGGAUUUACUUCUCGGGGUUCUGCCUUCAGCAUACUGUAAUCAACGGGGAGUAUCAUAACAAAUGAAGUAAUUGAAGCAACUUAAAUAGCUAAAUUCACUUGACUUACAAGGAUUAAAACAAAUUAAGGUUAAUCUUAAAUAAACAGUCGAUGAGAUGUGUAACAUUUCAUACUUUUUAACAGCAUUCAAAGCGAAAAGGGAUAGGGAAAAAGGUCAGAUGUUUGAUACUUGCACAUGGACCCAACAAAGAACAGUACAAAACCCGAGAGCAGAUAUCUAAUUCUGAACCAGCAGCAGUAUGUGUACAGAGAGAGCCAGCUUAGUAACAACUUAUGAAAUGAAUAAAUAUCACAAAAUACCACAUACCAAAUUUUGCUUCAUCAUCUGCCUUCACGGUUUCCACGACAAAUGGACGCCGCUUACCCUGAAAAAAGAUGCAUGCUUUGAAAUAAGUAUAUCACAAGAAAGAGUUAAAAGAAAAAGUUGUGAGAUGAAGCAUCAUGUAUUACACUACUUAUCGUCGGAGUAAUUUCCAAGAGGUUCUCGAUAAGGUUUAGCAUUUCUCUACCACGUUCAUUUCUGCAUUUGGAAUGUGCAAAAGUAUAUCUUAAACAAGAUUAUUUAAGGGUAGAGCUAUCAGCAUGUCCUUUUAAUCUGUCAACGGCUUAUAAGAUUUGGCAACACUUUACCUGACAGUAACAUACUGGGGAUGCUGCAUCAUGCUGAUUCCACUGUAUUUCGGCACACCCAUGUAUCCCACCACCAAAUCCUGACAAGUUCCUUGAAGGUAAGAUUUGAAAUGUUGGCAUAUGCACCGGGAUUAUCAAGCUUUGCUUUUAUUUAAACGAAAUAAUCUGUCACGUUAAUGUUUGGAAACUACUGUAAUAGAGAAAGACAUCGACUAAUAAAUCUUCCAAGGAGCAAAAAUACUUAAUUUUCAUGGAUAAUAAGAUAUGCAGCAUCGAAUCUUCAAUGAUACGAUUCUAGAAACCUUAAAGAGUAAACUUAUGACGGAACCAUAAUGCAUUACCAUCCAAGACCAAAAUGAGUUUGCUAAAAGAUCCCCCUUGGACCUCAACCACUGAAUCUUAUCUCCAGAUCUGUCACAAGCUUUCACUUGAAAACAGUUGGAGCAAAUGAGUGGCCAGGUCUAGCUCUAGAACCUAUAAAUUCCUCAAUGAUCGAGGCUGCCUUUGCAAAACCUCUUUCCCUGUCAGAAAACUACGCACUAGAAAAAGAUCUGUUUGUGAGACAUAAAGAGAGAAGAGAUCUAUUCAAGAUUAACGAUUUGAUGACUAUAAUACAGACCUAUUUAUAAGUUCCAAACAUAGUAGACAAAUAGACAUUUGCAAAUGCAGGAAAUUACACCAGUAAAAUUUAAUAUUCCACCAGUAACACAUCACCUUUCAGAAUCUAAGACUAAUCAAAGUAGCAUUUAAGAGUAUGCUUUCCUUUGCUAUUUGAAAGUCUAACACAUGUGUAUGUACUGUGCACAUGCUUCUCUUGGAUGUUUAUUUUGUCUGUUUCUUUGUGAAAAUUGUAUUGUGCAAUAUAUCAGGGCCUUUAAUUAUGAACAAAGAACUCACCGCCAAGCCAUUUGUGUAGUCAAAACAGCUGUAAUAGAAGGAAAUAACAGUUUACAGAUCAGCACAAGUUCAUAUUCUGAAGAAUGAGAGACAGGAAUGAAAUAUAUGAUAAAUGCGAAUGUAGGAAACGUGAAGCUUGUAUAGAAUGUUCAUUUAGACUUCUCCAACUGCAUAGCAUCUUUACAUUUGUAGACAAGCUGAAAUCCAUGUUGACAUUGUCUAAAAGAAUGUGUUAUUAGUUUGAUUGAUUUCUUUGUUGCCUAAACUGACACGGCAGGGAAUGCUACCAUAUGCAAUAAACCCAACGACAAGUAUAGUUUUACAUGGCUUAUCCAACUUGAUUUAACCCAAUUGUCCAUAUCAGAGCGACAACUUACAAGUGAGAACCAGAGAUCACAUAGAACGUAAUAAGCCCAUGACACUACCUUCGUGCACAUACUAACAUACUUAUGUAUACUUCUCCCUAGUUUAUGCUCCACAAGUGAAGGAAUUUCUCAAUACGAAUGUAACUGAAAAAUAAAUAUAUUAACUAUUAGGAAGAAAGACGGUUCCUGAAGAUUUUGUUUGUCAUCAAAUUUGUUAAUCUACAUAAUCUUUGUCUGCACACCAAAUUUUCUUCCACAGAUUUUCACCCUUACUCCAUGAACAAAGUAUCUAGAAUAGUUUGACCAAGAACGGAUAUUACGAGCAUUAUUGAGAUCAUUGUUUCUUUUGAUUCAUAAGUGGGUCCAAAAAUGAGAUGGGAAGUUACAUUUCUAUGAACUUCAUAAGAAAAAUAGUUGGCAUGCAAUAAUUUUUCGAGUAAUUAACACAUUUUUUUAAAAAAGAAUAUCCAGUAGAUCGUCUAAGUAGCUCACUUAGAGAAUGUCGCCUACGACGGUUUGACUACAUCCCACAUAAACUUCCAUAUCCAUAUAGGUGAUACCAACUAGAUAGGAUGCAGUCAUUGAAGCAUAGUUGUUGCUACGCUUGCAUAAGUGCUUGUCAAGGGUCUUUUUAUUCUUGUUGAAAACUAGUAUAUCCACGUAGGGAUAAGGGUGAUAUUUCACAUCUUUAGUUUGCUACGGUUCCCUGCGGUCCAAACCCGGUGCCGCUUUAGGUUAGGGAGCUGGACGAUACCUUAUAACACGAAUUAUUAGAUAUUGGAAAAAAAUUGACCUAACAGAGCACAAUGGAUGCUGAGGAUACAUAAAGCCACCCAAACUAAUGUAGGAUUAAUUUAUAGUUGAUUGACUAAUUGGAUCAACUCAUAGAGGGAAAGAAAGAAUCAUUUCCAUGAGCACAAAGAGAUGGAACAAAAAAAUUAUAUUCAGACUUGUCCACCACCGACCUCUGACCCAAAAAGUCUACAGGUUAAGUAUGCAGAUAUUGUUUAAAGGCUUCAGUAAAUCAAUAAUAAGCAAUUGAAAUACCUGUAACAAGAUGGUGCAAUAACAUCAACCAAGUCAUUUGCUGGUAAACAGAAAUAGGGAACCUGCUUAGUGAAAUAUAGAUCUGAAUAAACAGCAUUCAAAUAAAACAAAAGAUACGAAAAAGAAGAUGCUAUUUUACCUCUUCAAUAUGGCCAUCCAAAUGCUUCAGAUGGACCUGUUGAAAUGUAGAGCUUAGACAGAUGCUUCAACUGAUUAGAAAACUAUCACAUGCAAUUCAAUAGUAUAUCCUUUAAAUCAUAGUAAAAGAAGAAAGCUAUAAUAUGGUUUACAGGAUUAACUGUCAAAUGUUUUCAUCUAUAAGGUGAUGAAGCACAUGUGAGCUUAAUUUAGUCUUUCUCAUUUGCAAGAUCCUACUUAUUGGUAAAUUUCUGAUCCAACAAAGGAUAGUAACCCUCCAUCAAAUUCAACACGACACCAGCGGACGAGGCAUGGUACUUGAGAUAUUAAUUUGAUUUGUGUAUUUUAUAGGUAGUAGUUGAGGAAAAUUUUAAAAUAUUUUUGUAAACGAAAUUAGGUUGACAUAGAAAUGCCAAAUCAAACCUUAAUAAUUUGACUAUUCAAACAUAUUAAAAUUUGAGAAACUGAUGAAGUUGUAUAAAGUUAUAUUGUUAGUAAGAUGGUGUCAAAGAUUUUUGUACGCCCAAAAUAAAGAUGUGUCAUAUAAAAUUUAUCAGGAUGGAGACAAUAUGAUAUAUUGAAGUGCAUCUUCAUGAGUGAACUUACCUCACCAACCAAAUGAAAACAUAUUCUAGAAAAGCACCCUAGUUAUCAGACUAAGAAAGGCUGUUUACUGAUGUUUUAGAAUACAACAGAAGCAGAAAACAUAUCGUCAUGACAAACACAGAAUGUAGAAGUUGGUUUCCUUGUUCUUAUACUUGAAUGGAUAGAAUUCCAAGAUCACAGAGGUUAUGCAUAAGUUGUCUCACAAUGAAGCUCAGCUUGUCAUAAAAGAGUAACAGGAGCUUACUUUUUUUUCUUUAUGGAAGAAAUAUAACAGUAGCACACCUUGUAGUCUUGCAUAAACUCAUAGUGGAGAACUGUUUCAGGUUCACUGCUAGCAGCCUUCAGAAAUUUAUCUAAACCUUCUCGUGGUCCAUUAUCCACUGUUGAGAAAUGACAGUUAGUAUAGGUCUAUAUUGACUAAAAAUAUCUAAGAGGGGAAAGGAGAUUCUAAUAAAAAGCAGUUUAUAGAGCAUCCCUCUUACUAUAUACUCCCUCCAUUUCAAUUAAUUGUCUUAUUCCUUUUCAGUCCGUUUCGAAAAAAAUAUUUCUUUCCCUUUCCUGAAACUCUAUAAUUCCAACUUUCCACAUAGCCUGUUUGAAACCACGAGUUAAGAGGUAUUUUGGUACAUUCUACAUAUUUAUAGUUUAAGAGUUAAGACCACGAAAUUCAAAAAGUUUUCUUUACUUUCUUAAACUUUGUGACAAGUAAAAACCACACAAACAAGUUGAAACAGAGGGAGUAUCAUAAAAGAUUCCAUUGAAUCUUUGUCCAGUUUGUCCACUUACUAUAUGUCUUAUUUUCUCUCCCUGCUUCUGUGGUGGACAAACUGAAAAAAUUAAGUUGACUCUUUUUUGAGAUACUAACAACAAACAAGUACUCCUACUGGUGAUGUUAAUAGAUCAAACUUUUUGUUAUUUAAUUUAAAAAAAGAUCAAAAUUAGAUCUCCAAACACACGUAAUUACAAACAUAAUCAAAUUUCAAGCAGUUGGUAGUUAUAUUAGAAUUGAUCAAAGAUGUAGGAAAGGAGUCUAUGAAUACCACCGACUACUCACCACAGUUAGUGCCUAGAACAUAAAGUUUUUCCAGAUUCAAAUAUUGCUCCACUGAUCUUAAAGCUGCAAGUUAGGAAAUUGUUCUGCUUAAAAUACAGAGAUGUAAAUUGUAAUGACAACAUCAAGUUUGAAGCAGAGAUGAAGAGAUCAUAACAACUUGGAUACCUUGAACUUGGCAGCCAACCCCGCAGAAGAGAAGGCGCUUUACACCAGCUGCCUGUUUCCAGGAAACAAUACUGCUUACUUCAACAUUUGAACUACAAGUUAUACUAUACACUUGUGUGACAAUCCUCAGUGAAAACUGGAAUCUCUUAAAGCCCAGUUUUUAAUGCAUUAGAGCAUGCACGACUAGAAAGUGUGAAAUUCCAUGAUUGCAUUGUUAUGAAAAGAAAUAACAAGAAGCCUACCCUUACAAGUGUGAUAUGCAGAUGGUUGAUGCUUACCAAAAGAAAGGGAGAAAGCAUUUGGGGAGAAAUAAGCUCAAAUAGUUAAAAUAAAGUCAAAAAAUAACCUACGACCUUCAAAUGGAUAGAGAGGAAAAAUUUGGCAAAAAGACUCUGAAAUUGUCAGGAAAGGAAUUCAGCUCGAACCAUAAUAUGGAACAAAUCAGAAAAUCAAAAGAGCUUAUCUUAAUAAAAUCCCCGAUUGGGGCAAUUACAGUAUUAGAUUGUGGUGGUCUGACGGGGGGAGGGGGGGUGAUAGUAAAGCUAAUUUGGUGGUGUGGUGAAGAAUAAGAAAGCAUAGCUACACAAGUUCCAAUUACCUAUUGAGGAGAGAUAUGGCAUCUUCAAUCCAUGACAACAUGCUCCAUUAAGAAUUCAAUAGAGUUACACAGAUUAUAAAUGCAUUGAUGACAACAGAACAAUCAAAGAUUCUGAUGAUAAUGGAAGUGAAAGAAGAAACCUCAACUAAGGCAAGAGUAUUUAGAUUAGGAGACAGUGUCGGCUUAACACCUUUAGCUGCUAUAACUUCCUCUGGAGUCCUAUUAGAAACAUAAAAUUAAAGUUGAAGAUCGAAAUGGUUAAAUUAACAGGUAAAAAAUCAACAUGAAUACAAAUAGCUCAGGAAUUCCCAGUCACAAACCUUGCCAGGACAGGUCGAGGAGCAAAUCGAUCUUCUGGAUCACUAAACAACAUAAAAAAAAGAAGGUAAAGAGUCCAUGAAUUGCUGGGUAAUAAGUAGAAGAAAGAAACCAAAAUUUCAAGUGCAUAACUCAUGUACAGUGAAAUUAACCAGGAGGGAGAACUAAAUUAUUUUUAACCAAAUUGGAUGCAAGCCAUACCUCUGAACACAAAUAACAGCUUCCACCAUCCCAGCUUUUAGCAUCUCCACGGCAAUAGUUGUCACUAUCCCCGUCCAUUGAGCUCCUGAAUGCCAGAAAGAAAAAGAUAGGAAUAUGACCAGAUGAUUCAUAGAAAUUGGCACAUUCUUUUAGUGAUCUAGAGAGCACAAGAAAACAAGCAACAGUAAAUUGAACUAGAAUACUACAUAAGAGCAUCCAAAGUUGUACCUUCCACAGGCUUAGUUUUACGAGCAUACAAUAGAUUCUCAUACACCCCCAUAUAAAUCUCAUCCAAGGAAUCUUCUUUCCGUCCUCGUCCAUGGACAAUAGGUUCCAAAGCCUAAAGAAGAUGAUAAGGAACAGUCAACAUCAUCUGGUCACUUUACCAUAAGAAAUACUAUCUGUACUUUGAGCUACUUCAUAUAAAUUUGACCAAAAGAGAAGGUCCUAAUAGCAUAGCAUGACUGAGUUGAGAACGCAUUCCAAGGAACUGCUACUCGUAGCAAGCACUGAAGUUUUUUAGUGAGUAAUCAAAUCAUUCUUUCUCAUAAAAGAACUUACAUGCACCCCCUGUCACCCUCCACCCACCAGUCAAACUAAAGACGGAAUAAUUUUCAAACUUUACCAAGUUCCUUUGGACAAUAACCAAAAAAAAAAAAAAAUUGUAUAGAAUUGGGGAAAAAAGUUUGACCUGUCACGAGAUUACGUUGUACCUGUAAACUAUGCUAAGCUGUAUGAAAUUAUUAAACAGAAGGUAGAAAAAACAAAGAAAAGAGAAAAGAGAAGAGGACAGAUGUACACCAUAGCGAAGACUUUGAUGGAGGUCUAUGAAUGUUUUCCCAUCGCCCUAUGAGGAGUCUGAUUAGAGUCCGACCAUACUGUGUUUCAGUAUAACAUUAUCAACCCCAUAAAUUUCAGUAUGUCGAGAUUAUGUUAACAACUAGAGAAAUCAUUCUUAUGAAGAUCCACUAUACGUGUCUUGUACCUUGUGUAAUUUAUAGCUCUAUAAUAAUGCCUAAAACUUCAUUUAUUCCAUAUCUUGUCAACAUUCAAAGCAGCAUACCUUUUACCCAAGAGAGUGAAACAGAAAUAUAAAAUUCAAACAUGCUUGUCAAAAGAACUAGUUGGGGUCGGAGGCGAGGACCAGUGAACCCAUCAAGUUCUAGUAUGCAACUUUUCCUAAUAACAAAGUGUUAAAAACUCUCAUGCUCCCAACAGAAGGGAUUUUAAUGGAAGUGGAGUGACCAAAGAAAGAUGAAUUCAAUUGCACACGAGCUAAUAGUGGAUUACACGGUCUCAGAGAACAUGAACCAGUACUCUCUCUGAGCAUCUUUCUAGCUUGCAAACUUUUCUUAUGACUUCCACAACACACUGCAAUAUCACAGCCAAGUCUUGUUUCACUGCAUACACUGUACAUAUUCAUAAGAUGUAAAUCCAUAUGGAUGAGAUAGCUUUUCAAAGGACACAAAAGACAAAACAAAAUUCACAGGGAAAAUCUGCAUGUGACAAUGAAAGCAUGCAAUAAUCAAACUCCAGUAGGUCAUUUAUGACAAACUUAAGGAACAAAAACUAGGCAUAAACAAUAAGAACUGCAACUAAAAGCAACAGUAUCUACAUGUACUAAAGUAGAGAAAGACUCACUUCAACUCUAGACAUGCCAUCCCCAAGAAAGCACAUGCAUUAUUCACAUGAGCAAUGUAGUAAGUGUCACACAAACCACAGUGGCUGCAAACCAGAAACAAAAACUACCAUCAGACAAAAAACUACUAUAAUGAUUACGAAAUAGUCACAAAAUAUACAAGAAAUUAAUUUAAAUAAGUAUGAAGAUGAGUGAUUAAAUGAUACUAACUUAUAAUCCUCAAAAACAUUGAAUUAGUAUAUAAAUAAUGUUAAUUAUUAUUUACCAAUUUCAAAAAAAAUGCUAAUUAAUAUAUAUGAUAUUCUUGUGAACGUCAAAACUUAUAUUUCAGUCUUCCAAACAAUACUUCAUCAUUCAAGCUCCUUUUUUUUCCAUUCUACAAAAUUUGACCCAACUUAGGACGAAUUGAUAUGGAAAGCUACGAUGCUUCAAAGACCCAAUGAAAUGCUUCCUCCAUUUCAAAUUGAAUACUUCAGGUUCUUUUUUAUACUUCAUGCCAAAUUAAUGCCCAAUCUCCCUCAUAUUUAUAGUUCUUUCACAUUUACUAUGAAAAUUGAACCAUUAUAGUUUCCGAAAAGGGAGAACUCUUCAAACACAUAUUAGUUUAAGACACUCUCUCCGUCCGGUAUUGUUUGUCAUGGUGUCUAUUCAUAGAGUCAAACUAUAAAAACUUUGACUAACAUUUUAAGGUGUAUUUUUUCAUCGUAUUAAUAUGCAAAAAAUUGCAAUUUAUAGUACUUUUCAUAUAGUUUUAAAAUAUCUAAUUAUUUUGUUUAAAAUAUCGAAUUAAUGUGAUUUAAUUUAACUUUGAAAAUUAGUCAAAUUGACUUUCAAAAAACACAACAUGACAAACAAUAUUGGACGGAGAGGGAGUGAUUCAUAAAUAGACACCUUAACUUUGCUUAACUAACAACUAAAUACUCCAACUUUAAGAAUGCACAUCUAGACGGUCUCCGAGACACCCGGCACUAUAUGUCUAGAUGAUCAUUUUGUACGUUGGGAGUGUUUAACUCACACAGCCAAGACCAGUUAAGAUGCACACUUUGAGUGUUCAGUUGCCAAUUGAGCCCAACCUAAGAUAUCUAUCUAUGUAUUUAUGUCAUAGUUUAAAGAUAACAAAUAAAAAUAACAACUUUUUCACUAGUCUAACUUACAAAAACUAAAAACUUCAAAAAAAAAAUACAUAGAAAAAUGAUCAAGCUACGCAAUUUACCUCCCAUUACAGCAUUAAAAGCUAAAAUUUCAAUUAUAUUAAGAAAAAAAAAAGCAGAAUUAUGAACCUGCAGUGGUCUUUAGCUGGAUAAGUCCCACCAGGAGGAAUAGGUCGAGAUUUUUUCCUCCAAUCUUCUCUAAUUUUCACUGAUUUCAGGUUUUGGUUUGCAUCUGUUGAGUAAUUCAAACAACAUCAACACACAAAGUUUCAAUUUUUUUUAAAAAAAAAACUCAUAGCAAAAGUUUGUCAUUUUUUGUAAAAAAAAGUUCCUCUAAGAGGAUUUUGUUCAGUGAAUGUAGAAAUGGAGAGAAACAAAACCUUGUUGUUGUGAAGAAGAUGAAACAGUGUAAAAUUUGAAGGGUAAAGUAGAGAUUUUUCCAGUAAGAAACGCCAUUGUUGCUCUGUGUAUCUGCACAAGUGUUUUGCGCCACAAAUAUAUAUCAAAUGAGAUUCUUUUAAGGGUGGAACCAAAACGGUGUCGUCCGGUAUUUAAUUAAUUUCUACUUUUUAUUUUUUUGGAUGAGUAAAAAAAGUGAAAUAUUAAAUAUUUAGAAAAUUAAGAAAUAAUUUUAAUUAUUUAUAAACAAUGAAUCGCUGAAAGUGAUUCGAACGAAUCCUUUUGGUCCUACCUAGCUUUGCUCCUGAAUAAGUACUCGAUAACAUAUUGUGUUGAAAUUUUGAUGAGAUAAACAACACAUACCAUAUCAUUUCACUGAAGUAAAAUCAUAUAGUCGUUCAUAUGAAUACUCAAAAUAGGGUGGCUUUUAAUUUUUGUUCGUCGGAUCAAUAGUCUUUGAAAAUACAAUCGUAAGGCAUAUGUUAUGUCAUACAAAACUUAUGCCUCUGUAGACAUAAGUUCAAUUUCAAAACAUUAUACCUUAAAAAGUUCAUAAAGUCACAAAUUAUAUCUUAUAAGGUAUAGACGUAAGUCCUACAUAACAUGUCGAUGGGAGUAUAAGUUCCAUUUUCAAAACUUGGAAGAUUAAACCUAGAGAAGUUCAUUACUCGCUAUAUCUUAUAAAUCAUAAGUCCCGUUUACAAAACCAGCAAAAUUGAGAAGUUCAUGAGUCACUAUAUCGGAAAAAAAGUGGUGGUUUAAUUGGAGCAGCCCAUCAGGCAUUAAUGGAACUUGGAAGGCACCGAUAACGAUAUAAAUCAUAAGUCCCGUUUACAAAACCAGCAAAAUUGAGAAGUUCAUGAGUCACUAUAUCGGAAAAAAAGUGGUGGUUUAAUUGGAGCAGCCCAUCAGGCAUUAAUGGAACUUGGAAGGCACCGGUCCGUUAUCCUUCCACUGCACAAAGCGGAAGUUUUUCGUUGCUCUGUGAAACCAGCCUCACGCGGUCCACCCCACUUUAGGAAUCUAGUAGCCCAUUCUUUCAAUUGGACCACAUGAUCCAACUCUGUGCUUGGAUAGGGCAGGCCAGAAAUUAGCCCACCAAGCCCAGCCAUCUGGGACAGCCCAAUAUUCCACCACCUUAACAUCCCCACUUGGGUUACAAGCCCACGUUACUAAGCUCGACAUACAA